AGUGAAAUAGUUGGGUUAUAUGGUAAUUCCAUUCCUAGUUUUUUGAGGAAUCUCCAUACUGUUUUCCAGAGUGGUUGUGCUAAUUUGCGGUCACACCAACAAU
RNAcentral lists this microRNA precursor (103 nucleotides) under Marmota monax (woodchuck). Lineage: Eukaryota; Metazoa; Chordata; Mammalia; Rodentia; Sciuridae. The record is from RNAcentral.